This 1013-nucleotide ribosomal RNA is filed under the name Halobacillus alkaliphilus. RNAcentral's name for it is "bacterial SSU rRNA". It matches the Rfam family "Bacterial small subunit ribosomal RNA", at positions 47 to 1040 of the family's 1533-position model. The record is from RNAcentral. Lineage: Bacteria; Bacillati; Bacillota; Bacilli; Caryophanales; Bacillaceae.
UCGAGCGCGGGAAGCAAGCGGAUCCCCUUCGGGGGUGAAGCUUGUGGAACGAGCGGCGGACGGGUGAGUAACACGUGGGCAACCUGCCUGUAAGACCGGAAUAACCCCGGGAAACCGGGGCUAAUGCCGGGUAACACCUACCUUCACCUGAAGGAAGGUUAAAAGAUGGCUUCUCGCUAUCACUUACAGAUGGGCCCGCGGCGCAUUAGCUAGUUGGUGAGGUAAUAGCUCACCAAGGCGACGAUGCGUAGCCGACCUGAGAGGGUGAUCGGCCACACUGGGACUGAGACACGGCCCAGACUCCUACGGGAGGCAGCAGUAGGGAAUCUUCCGCAAUGGACGAAAGUCUGACGGAGCAACGCCGCGUGAACGAUGAAGGUCUUCGGAUCGUAAAGUUCUGUUGUUAGGGAAGAACAAGUACCGUGCGAAUAGAGCGGUACCUUGACGGUACCUAACGAGGAAGCCCCGGCUAACUACGUGCCAGCAGCCGCGGUAAUACGUAGGGGGCAAGCGUUGUCCGGAAUUAUUGGGCGUAAAGCGCGCGCAGGUGGUUUCUUAAGUCUGAUGUGAAAGCCCACGGCUCAACCGUGGAGGGUCAUUGGAAACUGGGGAACUUGAGGACAGAAGAGGAGAGUGGAAUUCCACGUGUAGCGGUGAAAUGCGUAGAUAUGUGGAGGAACACCAGUGGCGAAGGCGACUCUCUGGUCUGUUUCUGACGCUGAGGUGCGAAAGCGUGGGUAGCAAACAGGAUUAGAUACCCUGGUAGUCCACGCCGUAAACGAUGAGUGCUAGGUGUUAGGGGGCUUCCACCCCUUAGUGCUGAAGUUAACGCAUUAAGCACUCCGCCUGGGGAGUACGGCCGCAAGGCUGAAACUCAAAGGAAUUGACGGGGCCCGCACAAGCGGUGGAGCAUGUGGUUUAAUUCGAAGCAACGCGAAGAACCUUACCAGGUCUUGACAUCCUUGGACCACCCUAGAGAUAGGGUUUUCCCUUCGGGGACCAAGUGACAGGUG